Long non-coding RNA from Priapulus caudatus, 113 nucleotides. RefSeq lists it as uncharacterized. The record is from RefSeq and is a predicted model, not a curated record. The transcript has 3 exons. NCBI's taxonomy places the organism in Eukaryota, Metazoa, Priapulida, Priapulimorpha, Priapulimorphida, Priapulidae.
AUGUGCAAGUUUUACGCAAGUUUGGUAGCGCUAGGUCAAUUAGGGGCCCGAGUUAAGAGCAGAAGGGAAAUAUGAUCAAGGUCAAAGUCAAUAAAGGUCGCAGUGACCUGGUU